Equus caballus (horse) is the source of this 2021-nucleotide non-coding RNA. Lineage: Eukaryota; Metazoa; Chordata; Mammalia; Perissodactyla; Equidae. The record is from RefSeq and is a predicted model, not a curated record.
CUCUGUCUGACUGAUUUUCCUUAGCAUAACACCCUCAAGGUCCACCCAUGUUGUCAGAAAUGGCACGAUUUUGUCUUUUUUUAUGGCUGAGUAGAACUCAGGGUUAACAUUCCGGUUGACAGGGAGCUACUGAAGGUUUCUGAGCAAGGAAACCUCGGAGAAGUGGUGAAAUUGGUGAAAUCAUACUCUAAAAAUAUCUUCCUGCUCUGGAUUGGAGAGCUAUUGAGUGACAGGUCCUGGAAUUAAAACGGCCAAUUCAGAGGCUGCUAGGAUAAUUGCGAUUUGAGGUGAUGGAGUUCUGGGCUUCCAUGGCAGCAUAAAAACAUGGACAUUUUGAGAAACAGAUAUGACUUGGUGACUAGGAGAACAGGGAGAAUAGGGGGAGAAAUGAGCCAAUGGUGACACCACGAGUCUGAGCACGACCCAGGAGGGGAGCACCACAGGUGACCUGAAGUCAGAGAGAGGGCAUCGGACUUUCAUAAGCAAGAUGGCAAACCUGGCCCUAGACAGGCCAAAUGGAGCUAAAAAGUUCAGCAGAAAGUUGAAGCUAUGUAACUAGGGCACAAGUCAAAGGGUAGAAUUGGAGAUUAUGUAUAUACAAGUUUUUAUUGUGGAAUAUUUCAGAUACAUCAAAUGUAGACUCCAGAGUAAUAAACGACCGUGUGCCCAUCACCUGGCUUCAGUCAUGAUCAACUCUCGGCCAGCCUUGUUUCACCCAGACUCCCCACUCGGCAUUAUUCUGGAACAAAUUCCAAACAUGGAGGGAGGGAUUUAAAGGUUCGAAGCACAGAAACUGUAGAUUUGGGAAGAUCUCAGAGAAGCUGAAAGCAAACCUUAUCUUACAGACAAGCAAAGGUAAAGAUCAGAGACAGGAAUACACUUCCCCUCGUUCAAAACAGUUGGUGGAGGUAUAACAGGAACCCAGGUAUUCGCAAACAGCUUUGCAUCUUUCUGAGAUGAAAUGAGAAAAAUAAGGAUGCCAUGCAAAUUGUUCAGAAAGCUGAAAUUCAAAUAUUAAAAUUACUGUCUGUAAAUAUUUUACAAGUUACUAUUGGUAAACAUAUUUAAAAAGUAAACAUUUGUCUUGUGUUUACCCUAUUCGUAAUUCUGUCAAGUACAGCACACAGGUCAUACAUUGUCAAAUAGGUCCUCACAGUAACAGCAGAACAAGAGACCUGUGUCGACUUAAUCACCCCUGGUUGGUUUUCAGUGUGGCCGCAGAGCAUCCAGGGUCACCCUAAGUGUGCCCUGGGGACAACAAGAGUCCUAUCUACCCAGAGUCAGUUUACUUGCGGCUGCCAGGAAAGUCACCUUGAAUGACACGUCCCCUCUUGGACCCCACCCACCUACAUUCAUGGUGCAAACUCCGUGUUGAUUGUGGCAAGGGGAAAACAUAACGGUGCACAAAGAGGUGUGCUGAUAACAAUUCCACAGAAGGGCACGACGUGAAGAACAGUGAGCCCGCCCAAAGAGAAUGGCAUCGCUUCAUCAGAAAAUACGACAGUCCGUGGCUCCAGCUCAGACUUAUUAAAGUAAAUCAAUCAGUGUGAGUCAUGGUUUAAAGACGUGGCAGUGUUCUUUACAAAGAGGUUAUGAAACCACAGAACAACUUCAGCUUUGUGGAAAAAAAAAUCUGAUUUUAAAAAUAUGCGUGGUGUUAGAAAUACGAAUACAAUGGCAUGGAAAGUAUUUAUAAAAUGGGGUUGCCUAUUGCAGACUCUAAAAGCCACUUACAUUUCAGGCAUUAAGGUGUUUGACGUACAUAUAAAAGAUGUUUGCUUCCCUCUGGUACUAAAACAAUUAAGUUGAUUCUGCACCUCUGUCACAGGACACAGUUACUGGAGGGGUGAGACAGCUGUGUGGGACCAUAUACGACUCGUUACUUCAGUAUAUCGACCACGCCUUGCCCAAGACUGCUGGUGGCCGCACGUCGGUCUUACCUGAUGCACGUACUCGUCCAUGCUGGAUGGCAUGUCGAAAUUCACGACCAGCUUCACGCUGACCAAGUCCAGGCCGCGUCC